This is a long non-coding RNA of Chelonia mydas (Green sea turtle), 1633 nucleotides long. RefSeq lists it as uncharacterized. The transcript is spliced from 2 exons. Lineage: Eukaryota; Metazoa; Chordata; Testudines; Cheloniidae. The record is from RefSeq and is a predicted model, not a curated record.
GGGGGCGUGGGAGUGUUUGUGCAAACUGCCAUGCUAAGGGAAAAGAAACCAAAGAAGGAACUUGCUAAUUGAUUUAGCUGAUGCCUCCUGGACCGUGCAAGUUGGUCAGAAACACAACUCCAAGGACAUCCUGAAGAUAAAGUACAUCACUUCCGAAGUGCUGAUAUUCUGGCUGAACCUAUAUUCCAAAAACACAGAGGAGCUGCAGCAAGGAAUGGCAAGUGAAGGGUUAAAAUCAUUUGACAUGCCACACAAAGUGCUCCCACAGUUUAAAAAUGUUAAUCCGUUUUGAAAGUCUAAGUCAUCCCCUGCUGAUAAAGAAAAUGAACACAGGAACAGAGGAAAAACUGGAAUUUCUGAAUUGAGAAUCUGUGUGGCUUUUCAUCAACACUUGGUAGGCAGUCCAAAUGCUCGAUCCUGUCAUCCAGCACACUGGUGCGCAACACUGCCUCGCUUAUAAAACCAGCCAUUAUGCUUACGUGUAUUUGUUAAGUAGCCAGUUUUAGAAGAUGCCAUAUGCCAUGCACCUGCACACAGGGGAGAGGACUGGGACACCAAAAGGUAUUCUUGAAAGUUUCUGAACCUACUGAUUCCUUUCAAUGCCAAUUAUAGAGAUCCCAAGAUAGUCCCCAUGGAAUGUAGCAAUUAACUUCUAUCAACUCCCCACCCCCAGCUCUGGCUGAUUUAACAAAAGCAGAAGAAGAGGGGGAGGAAAAGCAACAUUGCCACUGCUCUGUGUAGGAAGUAGCAAGGAGAAAUCCCUGGCUCCUAGUCCUGCUGCAGCUGUUCCCAGUGGGGAGCGAAGAUCUGACCUUUCAUAUGACAUCUUACUCAAGAGAUGCCAGUUCCCCUUUAAAUACUGAGGGUGAUGAGAGUCCCUGGUAUUGCUUUAAGAGUAGGAGUUUUUGUUUUUUGCCAGAUAUGCCUUCUCCUGUUUAUAGUUACUCUGUUUACAGGGUUUAAUGAUGCAAAGUGCUGCUGGGCAUCAGUGGGAAUGGAGGGUGUUCAGUACCUCACAAGACUGAUUCCUGUUUUGGAGGGAAAUCCUGACUAGAGGAUGAUCCUACUAUAGCUUUUUUGCUUUGUUAGCCACAAUAAUAUUUUAACAAAUCGCAGAAACUACAGUAUGUUCUUCCUAUUAUCGCAGGUACAAAGGUGCUUUCACCACCUUGCAGACACUAUAACAGACAAUAUAUAAGAAGCAGUCUUUUUCCUUUCAUUAUUUUAAGCAGGCACUUGCCUUCUGUUUGUUUGUUUUUUUUAAAUAUAUUACAUUUUAUAAAUUCAGAACUUGUAGGCUCAGAGUACGAUGCUUCCCAUGGCCCAAAGCAAACAUCUCUGAUUUUAGCAUCCUAUUAUGCAUGGAUGAAAAGUUAAGCUAAUAACUAAUUUUCAUCCCCACAACGCACAUACCCCUGACAAGAUUAAAAAUGAUUGUCUUUAACGGAUGUUUAAGUGGACAAAUGGGCAAGUGAGGAAAGAAAGUAUGAUCCUGCAUUAGAAAUAGAUAAUUUUGCCAGCGCACAUAUGAAAAUACAAGCAAAAGAGAAAAAAGACAUAGGCAGAGAACACGUCACGUUUGUGCCAUACAUAAUCAACUGGGAGUGAAAGGCAUUAAAAAGGCUCCGAUUGG